Molecule: ribosomal RNA, 460 nt
Filed under: uncultured bacterium
Lineage: Bacteria
Description: partial 16S ribosomal RNA
Rfam family: Bacterial small subunit ribosomal RNA
Source: RNAcentral
CCUACGGGGGGCAGCAGUGAGGAAUAUUGGUCAAUGGGCGCGAGCCUGAACCAGCCAAGUAGCGUGAAGGAUGACUGCCCUACGGGUUGUAAACUUCUUUUAUAAAGGAAUAAAGUGAGGCACGUGUGCCUUUUUGUAUGUACUUUAUGAAUAAGGAUCGGCUAACUCCGUGCCAGCAGCCGCGGUAAUACGGAGGAUCCGAGCGUUAUCCGGAUUUAUUGGGUUUAAAGGGAGCGUAGAUGGGUUGUUAAGUCAGUUGUGAAAGUUUGCGGCUCAACCGGAAAAUUGCAAUUGAUACUGGCAGGCUUGAGUACAGUUGAGGUAGGCGGAAUUCGUGGUGUAGCGGUGGAAUGCUUAGAUAUCACGAAGAACUCCGAUUGCGAAGGCAGAUUACUAAACUGCCACUGACAUUGAUGCUCGAAAGUGUGGGUAGCAAACAGGAUUAGAUACCCUUGUAGUC